Molecule: ribosomal RNA, 289 nt
Filed under: uncultured Spartobacteria bacterium
Lineage: Bacteria; Pseudomonadati; Verrucomicrobiota; Spartobacteria
Description: partial 16S ribosomal RNA
Source: RNAcentral
CUACACGGGUAUCUAAUCCCGUUUGCUCCCCUGGCCUUCGUGUCUCAGUGUCAGGAACUGUCCAGAGACCCGCCUUCGCCACUGGUCUUCCUCAUGAUCUCUACGCAUUUCACUGCUACACCAUGAAUUCCAGUCUCCUCUCCAGUCCUCAAGCACCGCAGUAUCGAAUGCAGUUUCGGAGUUAAGCUCCGAAAUUUCACACCCGACUUACGGCGCCACCUACACACCCUUUACGCCCAAUGAAUCCGAACAACGCUUGAGACCUCUGUAUUACCGCGGCUGCUGGCAC